Molecule: ribosomal RNA, 480 nt
Filed under: uncultured bacterium
Lineage: Bacteria
Description: partial 16S ribosomal RNA
Rfam family: Bacterial small subunit ribosomal RNA
Source: RNAcentral
GAUGAACGCUAGCGGCAGGCCUAACACAUGCAAGUCGAGGGGUAGAAGGAGCUUGCUCCUUUGUGACCGGCGCACGGGUGCGUAACGCGUAUGCAAUCUACCUUGUAUAGGGGAAUAGCCCAGAGAAAUUUGGAUUAAUGCCCCAUAGUAUAUAACCUUCGUAUGUUGGUUAUAUUAAAGUUCUAACGGUACAAGAUGAGCAUGCGUCCCAUUGGUUAGUUGGUAAGGUAACGGCUUACCAAGACGAUGAUGGGUAGGGGUCCUGAGGGUGAGAUCCCCCACACUGGAACUACGGCCCAGACCAGACUCCGACGGGGGGCAGCGGUAUGGAAUAUUAGUCAAGGGUCGCUAGUCUGAACCAGCCAUGCCGCGUGCAGGAGGACGGUCCUUGGGAUUGUAAUCUGCUUUUAUACAAGAAGAACCCCUCCCACGUGUGGGGGCUUGACGGUACUGUAGGAAUAAGGAUCGGCUAACUCCGUG